RNAcentral lists this ribosomal RNA (198 nucleotides) under uncultured bacterium. RNAcentral's name for it is "partial 16S ribosomal RNA". It matches the Rfam family "Bacterial small subunit ribosomal RNA", at positions 335 to 525 of the family's 1533-position model. The record is from RNAcentral.
ACUCCUACGGGAGGCAGCAGGGGGGAAUUUUGGACAAUGGGGGCAACCCUGAUCCAGCCAUGCCGCGUGCAGGAUGAAGGCCUUCGGGUUGUAAACUGCUUUUGUACGGAACGAAAAGACUCUGGUUAAUACCUGGGGUCCAUGACGGUACCGUAAGAAUAAGCACCGGCUAACUACGUGCCAGCAGCCGCGGUAAUA